UCCCUGAUCAUCUAGUGGUUAGGAUUUGUUACUUUCACUGCUGUGGCCCAGGUUCAAUACCUGGUCUGGGAA
This 72-nucleotide transfer RNA is filed under the name Sus scrofa (pig). It matches the Rfam family "tRNA". From Rfam's summary of the family: Transfer RNA (tRNA) molecules are approximately 80 nucleotides in length. Their secondary structure includes four short double-helical elements and three loops (D, anti-codon, and T loops). The record is from Rfam by way of RNAcentral. Lineage: Eukaryota; Metazoa; Chordata; Mammalia; Artiodactyla; Suidae.